GAGUUUGAUCUUGGCUCAGAACGAACGCUGGCGGCAGGCUUAACACAUGCAAGUCGAACGCCCCUUUCGGGGGGAGUGGCAGACGGGUGAGUAACGCGUGGGAACGUGCCCUUCAGUUCGGAAUAACCCAGGGAAACUUGGGCUAAUACCGGAUACGUGCGAGAGCAGAAAGAUUUAUCGCUGAAGGAUCGGCCCGCGUCUGAUUAGCUAGUUGGUGAGGUAAUGGCUCACCAAGGCGACGAUCAGUAGCUGGUCUGAGAGGAUGAUCAGCCACAUUGGGACUGAGACACGGCCCAAACUCCUACGGGAGGCAGCAGUGGGAAUAUUGGACAAUGGGCGCAAGCCUGAUCCAGCCAUGCCGCGUGAGUGAUGACGGCCUUAGGGUUGUAAAGCUCUUUCGUCCGGGACGAUAAUGACGGUACCGGAAGAAGAAG
RNAcentral lists this ribosomal RNA (434 nucleotides) under uncultured Alphaproteobacteria bacterium. Its description in RNAcentral is "bacterial SSU rRNA". It matches the Rfam family "Bacterial small subunit ribosomal RNA", at positions 9 to 490 of the family's 1533-position model. The record is from RNAcentral. Lineage: Bacteria; Pseudomonadati; Pseudomonadota; Alphaproteobacteria.